CACGAGCACUAACUAGAGGUGACUGCGAAAUACAACGCCGCAAGACCAAAUUUGGUCAAAUGGUGGUGUCCAUCAGAGGAACACAGUCCUGGAAUAUAUUACCAACACAUGUUAGAGACUGUGCCACUUACACCACCUUUAAAAAAAACCUUAAACAGUGGUUAGUAGCAAGCCAGACCUGCUCUCAUAUGUAACCUUUGGUCAUUCUAAUUUUUUAACAUGGACUCUUGAUGUGGGGACCUAUUUUGUGUGUAAAAGUGUUUUUUUAAUCUAUUUUGUAUACUGGUAUGUUCAAUUAAGCUAACUCCGGCAUAUUUAUAUUGAUGCUCUGGCUGACAUAUUGAUUAAUGUGCACUGUCCUAAUCAAAUAAAUAAAUAAUAAUAAUAAU
Long non-coding RNA from Gadus macrocephalus (Pacific cod), 389 nucleotides. RefSeq lists it as uncharacterized. The record is from RefSeq and is a predicted model, not a curated record. Lineage: Eukaryota; Metazoa; Chordata; Actinopteri; Gadiformes; Gadidae. The transcript is spliced from 2 exons.